Molecule: long non-coding RNA, 269 nt
Filed under: Elaeis guineensis (African oil palm)
Lineage: Eukaryota; Viridiplantae; Streptophyta; Magnoliopsida; Arecales; Arecaceae
Description: long non-coding RNA (EGUI_LNC020758)
Source: RNAcentral
GAAGGCAAGUCUUCAGGAUGCAUGAACCUACUCAUAAAUAAUCUCAUAAAAGCAAACUCAGCUUCUAGUUUUUUUGCUUUUGUUUCAUGACAUUCAUCUCCUUAAUAUGAAGUUGUUGCAUCACUUUUAUAUCUUCUUACAACUUAUGUAUCUGAACUCUUUCCUCUGAUGGCAUGCUAUUUGAAGAAACUCCCACAUCUUUACCCCACAUGUUAGAGGGAGUUGGACCAAGUCCUAAACCAUGUAUUUGACUAGCUCUUUCUGCCCCC